GGACGUCCGCGGUGCCCAGGCUGCGCCCCGACCGGUCGUAGUGCACGGCCGCCUUCUUCAGCGUCCCGAACUCCGCAAACAGCUCCUGAGGAGUCAGAGCAGCCGUAAGAGCUCAGCCAUUACAGCCCAACAGCUCCUGGAGAGUCAGAGCAGCCGUAAGAGAUCAGCCAUUACAGCCCAACAGCUCCUGCGGAGUCUGAGCAGCCGUAA
Anguilla rostrata (American eel) is the source of this 210-nucleotide long non-coding RNA. RefSeq lists it as uncharacterized. Lineage: Eukaryota; Metazoa; Chordata; Actinopteri; Anguilliformes; Anguillidae. The transcript has 2 exons. The record is from RefSeq and is a predicted model, not a curated record.